Molecule: ribosomal RNA, 445 nt
Filed under: uncultured bacterium
Lineage: Bacteria
Description: bacterial SSU rRNA
Rfam family: Bacterial small subunit ribosomal RNA
Source: RNAcentral
UUACGGGAGGCAGCAGUGGGGAAUUUUCCGCAAUGGGCGAAAGCCUGACGGAGCAAUACCGCGUGAGGGAUGACGGCCUAUGGGUUGUAAACCUCUUUUUUCAGGGAGGAAUCAAAUGACGUGUACCUGAAGAAUAAGCAUCGGCUAACUCCGUGCCAGCAGCCGCGGUAAGACGGAGGAUGCAAGUGUUAUCCGGAAUCACUGGGCGUAAAGCGUCUGUAGGUGGUCCAAUAAGUCAACUGUUAAAUCUUGGGGCUCAACCUCAAAAUCGCAGUCGAAACUAUUAGACUAGAGUAUAGUAGGGGUAAAGGGAAUUUCCAGUGGAGCGGUGAAAUGCGUAGAUAUUGGAAAGAACACCGAUGGCGAAGGCACUUUACUGGGCUAUUACUAACACUCAGAGACGAAAGCUAGGGUAGCAAAUGGGAUUAGAUACCCGGGUAGUCCC